Molecule: ribosomal RNA, 253 nt
Filed under: uncultured bacterium
Lineage: Bacteria
Description: partial 16S ribosomal RNA
Rfam family: Bacterial small subunit ribosomal RNA
Source: RNAcentral
UACGUAGGGUCCGAGCGUUGUCCGGAAUUAUUGGGCGUAAAGGGCUCGUGGGCGGUUCGUCACGUCGGGAGUGAAAACUCGGAGCUUAACUCCGAGCCUGCUUCCGAUACGGGCAGACUAGAGGUAGGCAGGGGAGAGCGGAACUCCUGGUGUAGCGGUGGAAUGCGCAGAUAUCAGGAAGAACACCGGUGGCGAAGGCGGCUCUCUGGGCCUUACCUGACGCUGAGGAGCGAAAGCCAGGGGAGCGAACGGG